AGAGUUUGAUCCUGGCUCAGGAUGAACGCUGGCGGCGUGCCUAACACAUGCAAGUCGAGCGAUUUACUUCGGUAAAGAGCGGCGGACGGGUGAGUAACGCGUGGGUAACCUGCCCUGUACACACGGAUAACAUACCGAAAGGUAUGCUAAUACGAGAUAAAAUACUUUUAUCGCAUGGUAGAAGUAUCAAAGCUUUUGCGGUACAGGAUGGACCCGCGUCUGAUUAGCUAGUUGGUAAGGUAACGGCUUACCAAGGCGACGAUCAGUAGCCGACCUGAGAGGGUGAUCGGCCACAUUGGAACUGAGACACGGUCCAAACUCCUACGGGAGGCAGCAGUGGGGAAUAUUGCACAAUGGGCGAAAGCCUGAUGCAGCAACGCCGCGUGAGCGAUGAAGGCCUUCGGGUCGUAAAGCUCUGUCCUCAAGGAAGAUAAUGACGGUACUUGAGGAGGAAGCCCCGGCUAACUACGUG
This 472-nucleotide ribosomal RNA is filed under the name uncultured Sporacetigenium sp. RNAcentral describes it as "bacterial SSU rRNA". It matches the Rfam family "Bacterial small subunit ribosomal RNA", at positions 8 to 507 of the family's 1533-position model. The record is from RNAcentral. Lineage: Bacteria; Bacillati; Bacillota; Clostridia; Peptostreptococcales; Tepidibacteraceae.